GGAAAAGUAAUGAUGAAGACCAACAUAAAUUUGUGACCCUCAGAGAGUCGAUGGUAGGUGAGAAUCGACGGCACAGUUUAUGGGUAGCCCUUCUAAACUAGUGUCCGAAACCUAGAGUAGGCACACUCGGCGUCAACCGUUAUCAGACUGGUAAUUAUACCAAAUGAGAGAACGACGCUUGUCGUUUAUUAAAGGGUGGUACCGCGUUAAUGACAACGCCCCUUGC
This 226-nucleotide non-coding RNA is filed under the name Pontibacillus chungwhensis. Its description in RNAcentral is "T-box sequence". It matches the Rfam family "T-box leader". Rfam says of the family: Uncharged tRNA acts as the effector for transcription antitermination of genes in the T-box leader family. T-boxes are found upstream of many aminoacyl-tRNA synthetase genes and some amino acid biosynthetic genes usually in Gram-positive bacteria. The record is from RNAcentral. Lineage: Bacteria; Bacillati; Bacillota; Bacilli; Caryophanales; Bacillaceae.